CUGCCGGGACCAGCGCUGGCCCGGGCCGGGCGCAUCCCCACCUGGCCUGGGGCGGGCUGGAGGGGCGGAACUGGGACUCUCGGACUCCGGCUACGUUGGAGAAAGGGUUGGCUGUACCCUGGAGAAGAGGAGAGACUCAAAGGUAGGAGGUGGGCGUCCUCGCAUUGACCCAGUCGGGGGCCACCGAGUGACGGUUUCCGCAGUGGCGGGGUCUGGGAAGAAGCCACGAAGCGAACCGUCCACUUCGCGGGAUCCACAGCGAGGCUGGAAGGCACCCGACCCAGCCUUGCCAAGAGAAAAAAAAAAAACAGCAAUAACAAUACUGUAUU
This 329-nucleotide long non-coding RNA is filed under the name Homo sapiens (human). RNAcentral describes it as "HSALNT0011353". Lineage: Eukaryota; Metazoa; Chordata; Mammalia; Primates; Hominidae. The record is from RNAcentral.